This 253-nucleotide ribosomal RNA is filed under the name uncultured bacterium. Its description in RNAcentral is "partial 16S ribosomal RNA". It matches the Rfam family "Bacterial small subunit ribosomal RNA", at positions 524 to 776 of the family's 1533-position model. The record is from RNAcentral.
UACGGAAGGUGCAAGCGUUAAUCGGAAUUACUGGGCGUAAAGCGCGCGUAGGCGGCUUCGUAAGUCGGGUGUGAAAGCCCCGGGCUCAACCUGGGAACUGCGCUCGAUACUGCGGAGCUCGAGUACGAGAGAGGGGGGUGGAAUUCCAGGUGUAGCGGUGAAAUGCGUAGAGAUCUGGAGGAACACCGGUGGCGAAGGCGGCGUUCUGGACUGUCUCUGACACUGAAGAACGAAAGCCAGGGGAGCAAACGGG